This 293-nucleotide ribosomal RNA is filed under the name uncultured Bacteroides sp. RNAcentral's name for it is "partial 16S ribosomal RNA". It matches the Rfam family "Bacterial small subunit ribosomal RNA", at positions 56 to 339 of the family's 1533-position model. Lineage: Bacteria; Pseudomonadati; Bacteroidota; Bacteroidia; Bacteroidales; Bacteroidaceae. The record is from RNAcentral.
UGCAAGUCGAGGGGCAUCAGUUUGGUUUGCUUGCAAACCAAAGCUGGCGACCGGCGCACGGGUGAGUAACACGUAUCCAACCUGCCUCAUACUCGGGGAUAGCCUUUCGAAAGAAAGAUUAAUACCCGAUGGCAUAAUAGAACCGCAUGGUUUGAUUAUUAAAGAAUUUCGGUUGUCGAUGGGGAUGCGUUCCAUUAGGCAGUUGGCGGGGUAACGGCCCACCAAACCAACGAUGGAUAGGGGUUCUGAGAGGAAGGUCCCCCACAUUGGAACUGAGACACGGUCCAAACUCC